AUGAGUAGGAAGUCAAGCAAAGGAGGCAGGAGACAUGCAUGGAUGAGCAAGGAGCUCCUGGCAAAACUCAACCAGAACAAGGAAGUAUACAGAAAGUGGAAAGGGGGACAGGCCACUUGGGAGGAAUAUAGAAACAUUGUCAGAGUAUGCAGGGAUGUGACGAGGAAGGCUAAGGCCCGUUUGGAAUUAAAUCUGGCGAGAGAUGUCAAGGACAGCAAGAAGGGCUUCUUCAAAUAUAUCAGUAGCAAGAGGAAGACUAGGGAAAAUGUGGGGCCUUUGCUGAAUGGGGUGGGUGCCCUGGUGACAAAGAAUGCAGAGAAGGCAGAGUUACUGAAUGCCUUCUUUGCUUCAGUCUUUACUGCUCAGGCCAGCCCUCAGGAACCCCAGACCCUGGAGGCAAGAGAGAAAGUCUGGAGAAAGGAAGACUUUCCCUUGGUGGAGGAGGAUCGGGUUAGAGAUCAUUUAAGCAAACCUGACACCCACAAAUCCAUGGGCCCCGAUGGGAUGCACCCACGAGUGCUGAGGGAGCUGGCGGAUGUCAUUGCUAGGCCACUCUCCAUCAUCUUUGAAAGGUCAUGGAGAACAGGAGAGGUGCCUGAGGACUGGAAGAAAGCCAGUGUCACCCCGGUCUACAAAAGGGGCAAGAAGGAGGACCCAGGGAACUACAGGCCAGUCAGCCUCACCUGCAUCCCUGGAAAGGUGAUGGAGCAGCUCAUCCUGGAGGCCAUUUCCAAGCAUGUGGAGGACAAGAAGGUGAUGGGGAGUAGUCAGCAUGGCUUCACCAAGGGGAAGUCAUGCCUAACCAAUCUGAUAGCCUUCUCUGAUGGAAUGACUGACUGGGUGGAUGAGGGGAGAGCAGUGGAUGUUGUCUACCUUGACUUCAGCAAGCCUUUUCACACUGUCUCCCAUAACAUCCUCAUAGACAAGCUCAGGAAGUGCGGGCUGGAUGAGUGGACAGUGAGGUGGAUUGAGAAGUGGCUGAAUGGCAGAACUCAGAGGGUUGUGAUCAGCGGUGCAGAGUCUAGUUAG
Long non-coding RNA from Apteryx haastii (Great spotted kiwi), 1029 nucleotides. The record is from Ensembl. NCBI's taxonomy places the organism in Eukaryota, Metazoa, Chordata, Aves, Apterygiformes, Apterygidae.